AUUGAACGCUGGCGGAAUGCUUUACACAUGCAAGUCGAACGGCAGCACGGGGCAACCUGGUGGCGAGUGGCGAACGGGUGAGUAAUAUAUCGGAACGUGCCCAAUCGUGGGGGAUAACGUAGCGAAAGUUACGCUAAUACCGCAUACGAUCUACGGAUGAAAGCGGGGGAUCGCAAGACCUCGCGCGAAUGGAGCGGCCGAUAUCAGAUUAGGUAGUUGGUGGGGUAAAGGCUCACCAAGCCAACGAUCUGUAGCUGGUCUGAGAGGACGACCAGCCACACUGGAACUGAGACACGGUCCAGACUCCUACGGGAGGCAGCAGUGGGGAAUUUUGGACAAUGGGCGCAAGCCUGAUCCAGCCAUUCCGCGUGCAGGAUGAAGGCCUUCGGGUUGUAAACUGCUUUUGUACGGAACGAAACGGUCUGCCCUAAUACGGCAGGCUAAUGACGGUACCUGAAGAAGAAGCACCGGCUAACUACGUG
Molecule: ribosomal RNA, 482 nt
Filed under: uncultured bacterium
Lineage: Bacteria
Description: bacterial SSU rRNA
Rfam family: Bacterial small subunit ribosomal RNA
Source: RNAcentral